CAGUAGCCGCGGGAAUACGAAGGGUGCAAGCGUUAAUCGGAAUUACUGGGCGUAAAGGGCUCGCAGGCGGUUUCUUAAGUCUGAUGUGAAAGCCCCCGGCUCAACCGGGGAGGGUCAUUGGAAACUGGGAAACUUGAGUGCAGAAGAGGAGAGUGGAAUUCCACGUGUAGCGGUGAAAUGCGUAUAGAUGUGGAGGAACACCAGUGGCGAAGGCGACUCUCUGGUCUGUAACUGACGCUGAGGAGCGAAAGCGUGGGGAGCGAACAGGAUUAGAUACCCGUGUAGUCCCUGUCUCUUAUAC
RNAcentral lists this ribosomal RNA (301 nucleotides) under uncultured bacterium. RNAcentral describes it as "partial 16S ribosomal RNA". It matches the Rfam family "Bacterial small subunit ribosomal RNA", at positions 509 to 807 of the family's 1533-position model. The record is from RNAcentral.